RNAcentral lists this ribosomal RNA (427 nucleotides) under uncultured bacterium. Its description in RNAcentral is "partial 16S ribosomal RNA". It matches the Rfam family "Bacterial small subunit ribosomal RNA", at positions 355 to 774 of the family's 1533-position model. The record is from RNAcentral.
UGGGGAAUAUUGCACAAUGGGCGCAAGCCUGAUGCAGCCAUGCCGCGUGUAUGAAGAAGGCCUUCGGGUUGUAAAGUACUUUCAGCGAGGAGGAAGGCGUUGUGGUUAAUAACCGCAACGAUUGACGUUACUCGCAGAAGAAGCACCGGCUAACUCCGUGCCAGCAGCCGCGGGAAUACGGAGGGUGCAAGCGUUAAUCGGAAUUACUGGGCGUAAAGCGCACGCAGGCGGUCUGUCAAGUCGGAUGUGAAAUCCCCGGGCUCAACCUGGGAACUGCAUCCGAAACUGGCAGGCUAGAGUCUUGUAGAGGGGGGUAGAAUUCCAGGUGUAGCGGUGAAAUGCGUAGAGAUCUGGAGGAAUACCGGUGGCGAAGGCGGCCCCCUGGACAAAGACUGACGCUCAGGUGCGAAAGCGUGGGGAGCAAACA